GGCUCAGAAACAUUACAGUAGGAUAUGGUGUAGAAAAAGAGAAAAGGAACGCAUUAGUUAGCAGCAAACUAGCAUUUAUGAACAAUAUCAGUAGAAUUAUCUGUUCAUUCUAUUAAAAUUCAAUCAUCUAGCUCGUCCUCAUCUUCAUCAUCAAUGAAUUCUUCCUCUUCUUCAUCGCUUUCUCCUCCUUGUUCCUCGUCAACAUCAUCAUCAUUCACAAUAAAGCCUCCAAGUGUAGCAUCAGCAUCAUCAUCAUCGUCAUCGUCAUCAUUCACAGUGUUCCUCUGCAAAGAAUCUUUCUUUCUGUCUCUAUCUUUAUGGGGUUUAUCUUUUUCCUUCGAUCUUGUUGAAUGUUUUGAUCUCUCAAUCUUUCUUAUUUUCGCUACAGUCUCCUUAUCUUCUUCACUCUCACCGCUCCAAUCAUCAUCAUCCUUGUCAUUACCUCCACCUUUCUUCCUCUUUCUCCUCUCAUUUCCUUUCCUCUUCAUUCUAUUACUCUCAAAACUCCCACCGUCCUCGCUAUCUUCCUCAGGUUCCUCGAGGAACCAAUACCAAUUCUUCACAUCGCGGAAUCUUUGCUUGGGAUAGCAGUCGAACUCGUGCCCAAUUACCAGAAAUCCAAACUCUGCAGCUCCAACAUACAAAUGAAAGAAAUAUAUUAGAACGAUUACUGGUUAAGAUUAUUUGAAAGGAAGUAGCACAAAGGCCAAACCUUUAACAGGAUCAAUUUGUGAAAGAUCAACACUUUCUGAAUUCUCACCCAGUCUCUCGCUACCAUUCACGCUCCCAAAAUCCCUUUCUUUUCCAAUUCCGAUUCUCUUCAGGUUGAACCAAACAGGACUUUGACUUGAAAUGCAAAACCAGUCACCGGCUGCCAUUUCACCCCUCUCGAGCUUCCUGAAAACCUUGAUCUCUUUUCCACCGCCGCCGCUUCGCACCCAGAGUGGGUUCCUGCCAAUAACUUGAAAUGAAACCCUAGGCUCUGUAUGGUUUUCAGUUUUGUCGAGGUGAAAUAAGAUGUGACGGCGAGAGACGGUUCUGUCUUUGGUGUUAGACCCUGAGCCUCUUCCAAACACAGUCUCGGAACUGUCGUCUUUCAAUUCAAUCGUCGAGCCAUCAUCGCCUUCUAGCUCCAUUUGGCUUCUCUGAGUAUUGACAGAGGAAGUGGGAAGAGGAAGAUGUAAAAAAAAAAAAAAAAAAAAAAAAAAGGGGGGGGAGGUAAAACCAGUGGUCAGGCGGUUGAAGAAGAAAACGAUGUCGUUUUUACAAGGACUCUCCCUAUCUUUUUCUUUAUCCAUUAACUAGCGUACAAAACUUGCAUCGAAAUGUGAGCACCGGUCACAGGCUCACAGCCACUGAAACUCUAAGCAUAGACCGAGGACGGACCAUGCCCUUGUUGGUCAAGACCGGUAACAGUCAUCACUUGCUAUCAUCAACGGCCAUGGCAAUGUGCUCAAGCUUUUGCCCUCAACUUCCCAGCCACUUCAGAGCAAGUGAUGACUGUUACCGGUCUUGA
RNAcentral lists this unclassified non-coding RNA (1516 nucleotides) under Hevea brasiliensis (rubber tree). The record is from RNAcentral. Lineage: Eukaryota; Viridiplantae; Streptophyta; Magnoliopsida; Malpighiales; Euphorbiaceae.